This 89-nucleotide microRNA precursor is filed under the name Cricetulus griseus (Chinese hamster). Its description in RNAcentral is "mir-626". The record is from RNAcentral. Lineage: Eukaryota; Metazoa; Chordata; Mammalia; Rodentia; Cricetidae.
AAUAUUACUAUGUAUAUAUUAAUAUAUUAUGUGAGCUAAUUUUACAUUAGAUAUAUUAACUAUAUAUAUUCAUAAUAAUAAAUAUAAGU